This 24-nucleotide non-coding RNA is filed under the name Cricetulus griseus (Chinese hamster). Lineage: Eukaryota; Metazoa; Chordata; Mammalia; Rodentia; Cricetidae. The record is from RNAcentral.
CGGCAUACUGUCAUAAACCCUGGG